RNAcentral lists this ribosomal RNA (3109 nucleotides) under Salmonella enterica subsp. enterica serovar Saintpaul. RNAcentral describes it as "23S ribosomal RNA". It matches the Rfam family "Bacterial large subunit ribosomal RNA". The record is from RNAcentral. Lineage: Bacteria; Pseudomonadati; Pseudomonadota; Gammaproteobacteria; Enterobacterales; Enterobacteriaceae.
GGGUUGUGAGGUUAAGCGACUAAGCGUACACGGUGGAUGCCCUGGCAGUCAGAGGCGAUGAAGGGCGUGCUAAUCUGCGAUAAGCGCCGGUAAGGUGAUAUGAACCGUUAUAACCGGCGAUACCCGAAUGGGGAAACCCAGUGUGAUUCGUCACACUAUCAUUAACUGAAUCCAUAGGUUAAUGAGGCGAACCGGGGGAACUGAAACAUCUAAGUACCCCGAGGAAAAGAAAUCAACCGAGAUUCCCCCAGUAGCGGCGAGCGAACGGGGAGGAGCCCAGAGCCUGAAUCAGCAUGUGUGUUAGUGGAAGCGUCUGGAAAGGCGCGCGAUACAGGGUGACAGCCCCGUACACAAAAGCGCAUGUGCUGUGAGCUCGAUGAGUAGGGCGGGACACGUGGUAUCCUGUCUGAAUAUGGGGGGACCAUCCUCCAAGGCUAAAUACUCCUGACUGACCGAUAGUGAACCAGUACCGUGAGGGAAAGGCGAAAAGAACCCCGGCGAGGGGAGUGAAAAAGAACCUGAAACCGUGUACGUACAAGCAGUGGGAGCCCCACCACUAAGCCAGUGGUGAACUCCACAUCCGCAUCCUUUGCUGAGGAUACGGUUAACGGAGCGAAAGCGACGUUCAACCGCAAAACAAGCAGAGGGGGCUUAGUGGUGGGGUGACUGCGUACCUUUUGUAUAAUGGGUCAGCGACUUAUAUUCUGUAGCAAGGUUAACCGAAUAGGGGAGCCGGAGGGAAACCGAGUCUUAAUUGGGCGUUAAGUUGCAGGGUAUAGACCCGAAACCCGGUGAUCUAGCCAUGGGCAGGUUGAAGGUUGGGUAACACUAACUGGAGGACCGAACCGACUAAUGUUGAAAAAUUAGCGGAUGACCUGUGGCUGGGGGUGAAAGGCCAAUCAAACCGGGAGAUAGCUGGUUCUCCCCGAAAGCUAUUUAGGUAGCGCCUCGUGAAUUCAUCUCCGGGGGUAGAGCACUGUUUCGGCUAGGGGGCCAUCCCGGCUUACCAACCCGAUGCAAACUGCGAAUACCGGAGAAUGUUAUCACGGGAGACACACGGCGGGUGCUAACGUCCGUCGUGAAGAGGGAAACAACCCAGACCGCCAGCUAAGGUCCCAAAGUCAUGGUUAAGUGGGAAACGAUGUGGGAAGGCCCAGACAGCCAGGAUGUUGGCUUAGAAGCAGCCAUCAUUUAAAGAAAGCGUAAUAGCUCACUGGUCGAGUCGGCCUGCGCGGAAGAUGUAACGGGGCUAAACCAUGCACCGAAGCUGCGGCAGCGAACGUAUCACUUAAAGCGAUGCAGCGAGUUAUGAUUGACGUGGCGAAGGGACGGCAAAGCGUAUACAAAGUGGAGUCGGUUUAAGGAUACGUUCGUUGGGUAGGGGAGCGUUCUGUAAGCCCGUGAAGGUGGCCUGUGAGGGUUGCUGGAGGUAUCAGAAGUGCGAAUGCUGACAUAAGUAACGAUAAAGCGGGUGAAAAGCCCGCUCGCCGGAAGACCAAGGGUUCCUGUCCAACGUUAAUCGGGGCAGGGUGAGUCGACCCCUAAGGCGAGGCCGAAAGGCGUAGUCGAUGGGAAACGGGUUAAUAUUCCCGUACUUGGUGUUACUGCGAAGGGGGGACGGAGAAGGCUAUGUUGGCCGGGCGACGGUUGUCCCGGUUUAAGCGUGUAGGUGUGUGUUCCAGGUAAAUCCGGUUCACUUUAACACUGAGGCGUGACGACGAGGCACUACGGUGCUGAAGCAACAAAUGCCCUGCUUCCAGGAAAAGCCUCUAAGCAUCAGGUAACAUCAAAUCGUACCCCAAACCGACACAGGUGGUCAGGUAGAGAAUACCAAGGCGCUUGAGAGAACUCGGGUGAAGGAACUAGGCAAAAUGGUGCCGUAACUUCGGGAGAAGGCACGCUGACACGUAGGUGAAGUGAUUUACUCAUGGAGCUGAAGUCAGUCGAAGAUACCAGCUGGCUGCAACUGUUUAUUAAAAACACAGCACUGUGCAAACACGAAAGUGGACGUAUACGGUGUGACGCCUGCCCGGUGCCGGAAGGUUAAUUGAUGGGGUCAGCGCAAGCGAAGCUCCUGAUCGAAGCCCCGGUAAACGGCGGCCGUAACUAUAACGGUCCUAAGGUAGCGAAAUUCCUUGUCGGGUAAGUUCCGACCUGCACGAAUGGCGUAAUGAUGGCCAGGCUGUCUCCACCCGAGACUCAGUGAAAUUGAACUCGCUGUGAAGAUGCAGUGUACCCGCGGCAAGACGGAAAGACCCCGUGAACCUUUACUAUAGCUUGACACUGAACAUUGAGCCUUGAUGUGUAGGAUAGGUGGGAGGCUUUGAAGUGUGGACGCCAGUCUGCAUGGAGCCGACCUUGAAAUACCACCCUUUAAUGUUUGAUGUUCUAACGUGGACCCGUUACCCGGGUUGCGGACAGUGUCUGGUGGGUAGUUUGACUGGGGCGGUCUCCUCCUAAAGAGUAACGGAGGAGCACGAAGGUUGGCUAAUCCUGGUCGGACAUCAGGAGGUUAGUGCAAUGGCAUAAGCCAGCUUGACUGCGAGCGUGACGGCGCGAGCAGGUGCGAAAGCAGGUCAUAGUGAUCCGGUGGUUCUGAAUGGAAGGGCCAUCGCUCAACGGAUAAAAGGUACUCCGGGGAUAACAGGCUGAUACCGCCCAAGAGUUCAUAUCGACGGCGGUGUUUGGCACCUCGAUGUCGGCUCAUCACAUCCUGGGGCUGAAGUAGGUCCCAAGGGUAUGGCUGUUCGCCAUUUAAAGUGGUACGCGAGCUGGGUUUAGAACGUCGUGAGACAGUUCGGUCCCUAUCUGCCGUGGGCGCUGGAGAACUGAGGGGGGCUGCUCCUAGUACGAGAGGACCGGAGUGGACGCAUCACUGGUGUUCGGGUUGUCAUGCCAAUGGCACUGCCCGGUAGCUAAAUGCGGAAGAGAUAAGUGCUGAAAGCAUCUAAGCACGAAACUUGCCCCGAGAUGAGUUCUCCCUGAGACUUAGAGUCUCCUGAAGGAACGUUGAAGACGACGACGUUGAUAGGCCGGGUGUGUAAGCGCAGCGAUGCGUUGAGCUAACCGGUACUAAUGAACCGUGAGGCUUAACCUUACAACGCCGAAG